AACUUCUGAAUGUUGACCUCGGAUCAGGUAGGAAUACCCGCUGAACUUAAGCAUAUCAAUAAGCGGAGGAAAAGAAACCAACAGGGAUUGCCCUAGUAACGGCGAGUGAAGCGGCAACAGCUCAAAUUUGAAAUCUGGCUCUCGGGCCCGAGUUGUAAUUUGUAGAGGAUGCUUUUGAUGCGGUGCCUUCCGAGUUCCCUGGAACGGGACGCCAUAGAGGGUGAGAGCCCCGUCUGGUUGGAUGCCAAAUCUCUGUAAAGCUCCUUCGACGAGUCGAGUAGUUUGGGAAUGCUGCUCUAAAUGGGAGGUAUAUGUCUUCUAAAGCUAAAUACCGGCCAGAGACCGAUAGCGCACAAGUAGAGUGAUCGAAAGAUGAAAAGCACUUUGAAAAGAGAGUUAAAAAGUACGUGAAAUUGUUGAAAGGGAAGCGUUUAUGACCAGACUUGGGCUUGGUUAAUCAUCUGGGGUUCUCCCCAGUGCACUUUUCCAGUCCAGGCCAGCAUCAGUUUUCGCCGGGGGAUAAAGGCUUCGGGAAUGUGGCUCUCUCCGGGGAGUGUUAUAGCCCGUUGCGUAAUACCCUGGCGGGGACUGAGGUUCGCGCAUCUGCAAGGAUGCUGGCGUAAUGGUCAUCAACGACCCGUCU
Molecule: ribosomal RNA, 643 nt
Filed under: Fusarium sp.
Lineage: Eukaryota; Fungi; Ascomycota; Sordariomycetes; Hypocreales; Nectriaceae
Also listed under: 24 other names
Description: eukaryotic LSU rRNA
Rfam family: Eukaryotic large subunit ribosomal RNA
Source: RNAcentral